This 402-nucleotide ribosomal RNA is filed under the name uncultured bacterium. RNAcentral's name for it is "bacterial SSU rRNA". It matches the Rfam family "Bacterial small subunit ribosomal RNA", at positions 355 to 749 of the family's 1533-position model. The record is from RNAcentral.
UGGGGAAUUUUGGACAAUGGGGGCAACCCUGAUCCAGCCAUGCCGCGUGAGUGAAGAAGGCCUUCGGGUUGUAAAGCUCUUUCGGCCGGGAAGAAAUCGCGCCAGCUAAUACCUGGUGUGGAUGACGGUACCGGAAGAAGAAGCGCCGGCUAACUACGUGCCAGCAGCCGCGGUAAUACGUAGGGUGCGAGCGUUAAUCGGAAUUACUGGGCGUAAAGCGUGCGCAGGCGGCUCUAUAAGACAGAUGUGAAAUCCCCGGGCUUAACCUGGGAACUGCGUUUGUGACUGUAGGGCUUGAGUGCGGCAGAGGGGGGUGGAAUUCCACGUGUAGCAGUGAAAUGCGUAGAGAUGUGGAGGAACACCGAUGGCGAAGGCAGCCCCCUGGGUCGACACUGACGCUCA